RNAcentral lists this ribosomal RNA (253 nucleotides) under uncultured bacterium. RNAcentral's name for it is "partial 16S ribosomal RNA". It matches the Rfam family "Bacterial small subunit ribosomal RNA", at positions 524 to 776 of the family's 1533-position model. The record is from RNAcentral.
UACGUAGGGGGCAAGCGUUGUCCGGAUUUAUUGGGCGUAAAGAGCGUGUAGGCGGUUCGGUAGGUCCGUUGUGAAAACUCGAGGCUCAACCUCGAGACGCCGAUGGAAACCCCCGAACUAGAGUCCGGAAGAGGAGAGUGGAAUUCCCGGUGUAGCGGUGAAAUGCGCAGAUAUCGGGAAGAACACCCGUGGCUAAGGCGGCUCUCUAGUACGGUACUGACGCUGAGACGCGAAAGCGUGGGGAGCGAACAGG